ACCUCAUUGCUAUCUGAAGGCAGACCUUACCUAUUUUUAUCUAUAGAGGAAACCUUACGUAACUUCUGCAGAUGGAUUUUUUCAGACUUUUUCUUCUCUUACCUGUUAAACAUCCUUGGAGGGAAUGGUCAGUGUUCUUUACAGCAGGCUGACCUCUAUAAGUAAUACACAACAUUAAAUUCUAGGGUGCUUUAUAUAUAGAACCCACUCUCAUGGUCAGAUGUACUUUGUAAAAUGGUUUCUAUGUAGUGCAUACUUAAACUAUAUCAUGCACUUAGAUAUAGUGAUUGGACUGAUUGUUUCCUGGAAAUUGUUCCAUAAACUGUACUGUAUUUUAAUUAUACUGGCAAUGAUUUCUGUGGAAUUAUACUCCCCAUGUUUGUCCCAGAUUGACAAAGUCUUAUGUACCAAGUUUUCAUGCUUAUCUCUUAGCGUGGUUCACUUCCCUAACUAAUCUAAAGGGACACCCUCAACUACAGUUGGAUCCCUAAGAAGACUAGAAUGUUCUGUUCAUCAAAGAAUUUAGUUUUAUUGCACUUCUCCAUGCCCUUUUAUUAUUUGAAUCACACAUUUCAUAUUUGCUAUACUUGAUCAGAACGUUCUUUGCGAGAGUAAACUACUCUAUGCUGGGCUUUUUUGAGACUUCUUUUGUAAAAAUAUUUAAUUUUAAUCUGUCUUAACCCCAGGUAUACUCUUCACACAUGCGGGGGGAAAAUAGUUCCAUUCUUCACCAAGAUAUCAAAACAGAACUCUCUAGGUGACAUAGUAGAAUUGUAUUUCACUAAAAGAUUUUGGUUCUGCACGUAUCAAAUCAUCCUCAGCAGCAAAGCUUCCGUGUUGCUGUUGAUGAUCCAUUGAACCCCAUUUAAAUCAUUCCAGGGCUUCCCAAAUCCACCUUCCCCAAAUCCACAUACCGACAAAUAUAAAAUUGAUAUGUUUUCCAAAACUUAGGAAUCUCAUAGCUUUCAAAUGGUCUGAAUAUGUGAAGGCAUACAAAUCCAAUUCCACUAUUUGGUCGAGAAGCAUAUUUAUGCAGUCCUUCAAUAGGUUGCAUAAAAUAUCUUUCACUUUGUAUGUAUAACUCUUGUAAAAUUAUCAUAUGUUUAAACUGGCCCAUAAUAGUUUCUUUCUGUUAGAAUUAUAGGAAUGGAAAUGGAGAGGAGCCUUGCCACGCACUCUGGUUGAGUCAGCUUGACAGGCCGAGAGGCCUAAAACUCACGAGGCAAAGAGUUUCACGGAAACUCACCUCCUGGAAUCUGGCGUUCUCUCUAAACUAUACAUUAAUAUUCCAUUCCCGAGUUAGUCUGGUGUAUGGAUCCAUGUGCUCUCUUUUAGUAUUAUCCUAUUAUAAGUGCCUUUUAGGAUUGAAUUCUCACAUAGCCAAGCCUUCACCAGUGUUCCAACAGUCCUAGAAAGUCCUAGAGCAGACAAUGGGCUUGGAAUUCAGUAAGAAUGUUGCUAUUCAGUGACAUUCAGAAUUGCCUCUGGCAUUACACUAUCACUUUGAAUAAAAGCUAAGUCACUGCUCUACACAAGAAUUUACCAUCAUCUAGCAAGAAGGAAGUUUGAGACCUAAAGAGAAACCAGAAUAGAUACUUAGAACUAGAGAUAGCUGAGUUACACCCAUACACAGGUAUUUACAAUGGCCUAGGGGAAAGGUGGACUAUACAAUAGACUAAAAUAGGAACUAUGGCAAGGGCACGAAGCCUUUGACCCUGGCUUCUAAGAUUAAGUGAAUCUUAGGUGCAGCUCUUUUUGAUCCCAGUUGUUAACAAUGAAUUCUAUCCCAGGUGGUUCCUGUUAGACCUUCUGUGUUUAUAUUCCUGUUUUGUGUAAGAAUCCAGUAACCUCUUUGUACCUUGCUGGUGUGUCACCCAACUUCCCUAUUUUCUUCAGCAUAAAAAGUUUGAUGCUCGAUUUGACAAAUUACAUUCAGAUUCUACACAACCUCUCCUAUGUGCAUCUGUCUGUCAUUCCAUCCAAGGCUUUGCCCACCUGCCCCAGAGACCCAUUCCAAGCAGACAAAAGAAUAAAGAGGGUCUGAGGCAGAGCCUGAAGAAAAAAGGUCCAACAACAGGCCCAAAGAGGGAUCCAGCUCAAGGGAGGUCCAAGGGCCUGACACUAUUUUUUUUAAAUAUUAAAUAUUAAAUAUUUAUUUAUUAUUAUAUCUAAGUACACUGUAGCUGUCUUCAGACGCACCAGAAGAGAGUGUCUCAUUACAGAUGGUUGUGAGCCACCAUGUAGUUGCUGGGAUUUGAACUCAGGACCUUUGGAAGAGCAGUAGGUGCACUUAACCCCUCCCCCCACCC
Molecule: long non-coding RNA, 2309 nt
Filed under: Mus musculus (house mouse)
Lineage: Eukaryota; Metazoa; Chordata; Mammalia; Rodentia; Muridae
Description: long non-coding RNA chr17:17107942-17110251
Source: RNAcentral